CCUACGGGAGGCAGCAGUGGGGAAUAUUGCACAAUGGGGGAAACCCUGAUGCAGCGACGCCGCGUGAGCGAUGAAGUAUUUCGGUAUGUAAAGCUCUAUCAGCAGGGAAGAAAAUGACGGUACCUGACUAAGAAGCCCCGGCUAACUACGUGCCAGCAGCCGCGGUAAUACGUAGGGGGCAAGCGUUAUCCGGAUUUACUGGGUGGAAAGGGAGCGUAGACGGUCCUGCAAGCCAGAUGUGAAAGCCCGGGGCUCAACCCCGGGACUGCAUUUGGAACUGUAAGGCUAGAGUGUCGGAGAGGCAGGCGGAAUUCCUAGUGUAGCGGUGAAAUGCGUAGAUAUUAGGAGGAACACCAGGGGCGGAGGCGGCCUGCUGGACGAUGACUGACGUUGAGGCUCGAAAGCGUGGGGAGCAAACAGGAUUAGAUACCCUUGUAGUC
This 440-nucleotide ribosomal RNA is filed under the name uncultured bacterium. RNAcentral describes it as "partial 16S ribosomal RNA". It matches the Rfam family "Bacterial small subunit ribosomal RNA", at positions 338 to 795 of the family's 1533-position model. The record is from RNAcentral.